CUGCUGCCUCCCGUAGGAGUUUGGGCCGUGUCUCAGUCCCAAUGUGGCCGUUCACCCUCUCAGGCCGGCUACUGAUCGUCGCCUUGGUGGGCUGUUACCCCGCCAACAAGCUAAUCAGACGCGGAUCCAUCGUAUACCACCGGAGUUUUUCACACCGUCUCAUGCGAGACUGUGCGCUUAUGCGGUAUUAGCACCUAUUUCUAAGUGUUAUCCCCCAGUAUACGGCAGGUUAUCCACGCGUUACUCACCCGUCG
Molecule: ribosomal RNA, 254 nt
Filed under: uncultured bacterium
Lineage: Bacteria
Description: partial 16S ribosomal RNA
Source: RNAcentral